Molecule: unclassified non-coding RNA, 176 nt
Filed under: uncultured fungus
Lineage: Eukaryota; Fungi
Description: sequence contains ITS1
Source: RNAcentral
UUAACUAUUGUAUAGUACUCAGACGACACUGACAUCCAGAGUUUGCGGGCCUUUGGCGGGCGGGCAGGGCCCGGCGCCCCGCCAAAGCAACGACGGUAACGAUAACAAUGGGUGGGAGAUCUACCCGGUAGGGCGAGAACUCUGUAAUGAUCCUUCCGCAGGUUCACCUACGGAGA